RNAcentral lists this small RNA (542 nucleotides) under Pan troglodytes (chimpanzee). Its description in RNAcentral is "processed transcript". The record is from RNAcentral. Lineage: Eukaryota; Metazoa; Chordata; Mammalia; Primates; Hominidae.
AGCGUGCACGGCGGGGUUUGACUUUGCCACCGUCUCUCUUCUGGGUUCCAAUAAAGUUUUCCUCUUCCUCUCCUCGUACGGAGUUCAAGAUGGCGGCCUCCUGGUCGCUCUUGGUUACCCUGCGCCCCUUAGCACAGAGCCCGCUGAGAGGGAGAUGUGUUGGGUGCGGGGCCUGGGCCGCCGCUCUCGCUCCUCUGGCCACCGCCCCUGGGAAGCCCUUUUGGAAAGCCUAUACGGUUCAGACAUCCGAGAGCAUGACCCCAACUGCCACUUCAGAGACUUAUUUGAAAGCUUUGGCCGUUUGCCAUGGACCUCUGGACCACUAUGAUUUUCUGAUCAAAGCUCAUGAGCUAAAGGAUGAUGAACAUCAAAGAAGAGUCAUACAGUGUUUGCAGAAAUUACACGAGGACCUUAAAGGAUACAAUAUAGAGGCAGAAGGCCUUUUUUCAAAGGUGUUAGGAACUGCUGCAGAGUAUGAAGGUUACUCGUCUAAGUGUAACAAAAUUCAAGAUGGUUAUUUGGGUUGAUAAUAGCAUUAGCUU